Molecule: ribosomal RNA, 497 nt
Filed under: uncultured bacterium
Lineage: Bacteria
Description: partial 16S ribosomal RNA
Rfam family: Bacterial small subunit ribosomal RNA
Source: RNAcentral
GACGAACGCUGGCGGCGUGCCUAAUACAUGCAAGUCGAGCGCACGGGCGUGGUGCUUGUUCCUAUGAUGUUAGCAGCGGACGGGUGAGUAACACGUGGGUAAUCUACCUUUAAGACUGGGAUAACUUCGGGAAACCGGUGCUAAUACCGCAUAAUAUCUUGAACCACAAGGUUUAAAAGUGAAAGAUGCACUUGCUUCAACUAAUGAUGGUCUCCGCGCUGCAUUAGCUGUUUGUUAAGUUAACGGCUUACCAAGGCAACGAUGAAUAGCCGACUUGAGAGGGUGAUCGGCCACACUGGAACUGGGACACGGUCCAGACUCCUACGGGAGGCAGCAGUAGGGAAUCUUCCGCAAAGGGCGAAAGCCUGACGGAGCAACGCCGCGUGAGUGAUGAAGGUCUUCGGAUCGUAAAACUCUGUUAUUAGGGAAGAACAUAUGUGUAAGUAACUGUGCACAUCUUGACGGUACCUAAUCAGAAAGCCACGGCUAACUACGUG